This 253-nucleotide ribosomal RNA is filed under the name uncultured bacterium. Its description in RNAcentral is "partial 16S ribosomal RNA". It matches the Rfam family "Bacterial small subunit ribosomal RNA", at positions 524 to 776 of the family's 1533-position model. The record is from RNAcentral.
UACGUAGGGGGCAAGCGUUAUCCGGAUUUACUGGGUGUAAAGGGAGCGUAGACGGCGAUGCAAGCCAGAUGUGAAAGCCCGGGGCUCAACCCCGGGAAUGCAUUUGGAACUGUGUGGCUGGAGUGUCGGAGAGGCAAGUGGAAUUCCUAGUGUAGCGGUGAAAUGCGUAGAUAUUAGGAGGAACACCAGUGGCGAAGGCGGCUUGCUGGACGAUGACUGACGUUGAGGCUCGAAAGCGUGGGGAGCAAACAGG